Molecule: ribosomal RNA, 420 nt
Filed under: uncultured bacterium
Lineage: Bacteria
Description: bacterial SSU rRNA
Rfam family: Bacterial small subunit ribosomal RNA
Source: RNAcentral
GCAGCAGCCGCGGUAAGACGAGGGGUCCUAGCGUUGUUCGGAAUCACUGGGCGUAAAGCGUAUGUAGGCGGGCUUUUAAGUCGGGUGUGAAAUCCCACGGCUCAACCGUGGAAUUGCAUUCGAAACUGGAAGUCUUGAGUGUGGGAGAGAUUGGUAGAAUACCUAGUGUAGUGGUGAAAUACGUAGAUAUUAGGUGGAAUACCGGUGGCGAAGGCGGCCAAUUGGCCCAACACUGACGCUGAGAUACGAAAGCGUGGGGAUCAAACAGGAUUAGAUACCCUGGUAGUCCACGCCGUAAACGAUGAUCACUUGGUGUUGCAGGUAUUGACCCCUGCAGUGCCGAAGCUAACGCGUUAAGUGAUCCGCCUGGGAAGUACGGUCGCAAGAUUAAAACUCAAAGAAUUGACGGGGGCCCGCACA